CGUAGGGUGCAAGCGUUAAUCGGAAUUACUGGGCGUAAAGCGUGCGCAGGCGGUUAUGUAAGACAGGGGUGAAAUCCCCGGGCUCAACCUGGGAACUGCCUUUGUGACUGCAUAGCUAGAGUACGGCAGAGGGGGGAUGGAAUUCCGCGUGUAGCAGUGAAAUGCGUAGAUAUGCGGAGGAACACCGAUGGCGAAGGCAAUCCCCUGGGCCUGUACUGACGCUCAUGCACGAAAGCGUGGGGAGCAAACAGGAUUAGAUACCCUGGUAGUCCACGCCCUAAACGAUGUCAACUGGUUGUUGGGUCUCCACUGACUCAGUAACGAAGCUAACGCGUGAAGUUGACCGCCUGGGGAGUACGGCCGCAAGGUUG
This 371-nucleotide ribosomal RNA is filed under the name uncultured organism. Its description in RNAcentral is "bacterial SSU rRNA". It matches the Rfam family "Bacterial small subunit ribosomal RNA", at positions 526 to 896 of the family's 1533-position model. The record is from RNAcentral.